GUCAGAAUGGCCGAGUGGUCUAAGGGGCCACACUCAAGGUGAUUUAAUAUUCUCAGUUAAUGAGAAUUCUGGUCUCCAGCUGGAGGCGUGGGUUCAAAACCCAUUUUUGACA
Molecule: non-coding RNA, 112 nt
Organism: Danio rerio (zebrafish)
Lineage: Eukaryota; Metazoa; Chordata; Actinopteri; Cypriniformes; Danionidae
Source: Rfam